Polyodon spathula (Mississippi paddlefish) is the source of this 383-nucleotide long non-coding RNA. RefSeq lists it as uncharacterized. The transcript is spliced from 3 exons. The record is from RefSeq and is a predicted model, not a curated record. NCBI's taxonomy places the organism in Eukaryota, Metazoa, Chordata, Actinopteri, Acipenseriformes, Polyodontidae.
UGUGUCUCUGUGUCUCUGGUGUACAGCGGGGGUCGGUUCAGCCUCACCUCUGCUCUCAUUCGCUUGCCCGAUGACUGCACAGUGGGGUACAUCGUGGAGCGCCGUCUCGGGGUCCCCCUGCUGAGCAGCCAGCUCUUCCACUCCCACCUGGAGAACCUGCAGCUCAUCGCGCCCCAGAACCUGAGGAGACAGGUCACGCUGAGCUACGGCACGUUCGAGAACAAACUCAACAGCAUAGAACUCAAAGGAGUCUUUACAAAACAGAACGACCCGUCCAGGUUCAAAACUCUCCACUGUCUGCUCUACCCAGAUACCCACUGGUGCCCCCAGCAAUACGCCCCUUGACCUUUCAGCUUGACCGUGGUCACGUCAAGGAUCGUCAA